AAUAACAAUCUCUCACCUGUAUCUCUCUCCACACUCUCUCUCACACAAUCUCUCACCGCCUCUCGCUCUCUCACUCUCCUUCGUCUCUCCCACGCAACCUCAGUCUCUCUCUCUCGGUUUUUCUCUCCCUCGCGCAUCUCCUUCUCUCCGCUUCUUCCCCCUCGGCCGCCCUUCUUCGCUGCCUUCCGGCAAUCUCUGCCCGGCCGCGUCUCCGGCCGCUGUUCCCGGUCGCGGGUUCGCUCGCCGCCGGCCUCACCCCUUUCUCCCGUCGUUUUGCUGCUGUGUAUAGGAUCGAGCAUUAAGGGCGUGAUACCAAGCAAAGGCAAGAAAAGGUGAGAGUUGUAUAGCGGUUCAGUAGUUACGGAUUGUUCGAGACGAGUAGAACCAGACGUUGGGGAUCAAGACGGAACUUAGAUAAGAUUCGUAUCAGGCUACAGCAACCGCAUGAGCGCCAUAGCAGAGAAUCAGGAAUAGUUGAGGGUGAUGUCUUGAGAAAGCAGAAUAAGAUAAGGAUGUUAGCUAAGAGUGUAUAAGCUAAGGACCAAAGCUAAGGACAGAGAUGAAUUACUGAUUAGGCUGCGCUUGAGAGUGAUGCUAAGCUGCAAGGAUUGCAAGUGGUUAAGUUAUACAUCAGAGAUCAGGUUGGGUGUUUUCUGAUUUCAAUACUGUAACCUGGAUGCGAUCCUGUUUUUAGGGGGUUAAAGUGUUUCCAAUUAAACCUUUUAUUAAUGCUUCAGGUUUUAAGUUA
Daucus carota subsp. sativus is the source of this 748-nucleotide long non-coding RNA. RefSeq lists it as uncharacterized. Lineage: Eukaryota; Viridiplantae; Streptophyta; Magnoliopsida; Apiales; Apiaceae. The transcript has 3 exons. The record is from RefSeq and is a predicted model, not a curated record.